Molecule: ribosomal RNA, 478 nt
Filed under: uncultured organism
Description: partial 16S ribosomal RNA
Rfam family: Bacterial small subunit ribosomal RNA
Source: RNAcentral
GUACACUCCUACGGGAGGCAGCAGUGGGGAAUUUUGGACAAUGGGCGAAAGCCUGAUCCAGCAAUGCCGCGUGCAGGAUGAAGGCCUUCGGGUUGUAAACUGCUUUUGUACGGAACGAAAAAGCUCCUUCUAAUACAGGGGGCCCAUGACGGUACCGUAAGAAUAAGCACCGGCUAACUACGUGCCAGCAGCCGCGGUAAUACGUAGGGUGCGAGCGUUAAUCGGAAUUACUGGGCGUAAAGCGUGCGCAGGCGGUUAUGUAAGACAGAUGUGAAAUCCCCGGGCUCAACCUGGGAACUGCAUUUGUGACUGCAUGGCUAGAGUACGGUAGAGGGGGAUGGAAUUCCGCGUGUAGCAGUGAAAUGCGUAGAUAUGCGGAGGAACACCGAUGGCGAAGGCAAUCCCCUGGACCUGUACUGACGCUCAUGCACGAAAGCGUGGGGAGCAAACAGGAUUAGAAACCCCUGUAGUCCCAUGA